Molecule: ribosomal RNA, 264 nt
Filed under: uncultured bacterium
Lineage: Bacteria
Description: partial 16S ribosomal RNA
Rfam family: Bacterial small subunit ribosomal RNA
Source: RNAcentral
AGUUAGUGGCGGACGGGUGAGUAACGCGUGGAAAACCUGCCGUAUACUGGGGGAUAACACUUAGAAAUAGGUGCUAAUACCGCAUAAGCGCACAGCUUCGCAUGAAGCGGUGUGAAAAACUCUGGUGGUAUACGAUGGUUCCGCGUCCGAUUAGCUAGUUGGUGGGGUAAUGGCCUACCAAGGCAACGAUCAGUAGCCGGCCUGAGAGGGUGAACGGCCACAUUGGGACUGAGACACGGCCCAAACUCCUACGGAAGGCAGCAG